This 269-nucleotide ribosomal RNA is filed under the name uncultured bacterium. RNAcentral describes it as "partial 16S ribosomal RNA". It matches the Rfam family "Bacterial small subunit ribosomal RNA", at positions 335 to 607 of the family's 1533-position model. The record is from RNAcentral.
ACCCUACGGGAGGCAGCAGUGGGGAAUAUUGCACAAUGGGGGAAACCCUGAUGCAGCGACGCCGCGUGAGUGAAGAAGUAUCUCGGUACGUAAAGCUCUAUCAGCAGGGAAGAAAAAAAGUCUUUUGCUUUUGACGGUACCUGACUAUGAAGCCCCGGCUUACUACGUGCCAGCAGCCGCGGGAAUACGUAGGGGGCAAGCGGUAUCCGGAUUUACUGGGUGUAAAGGGAGCGUAGACGGCAGCGCAAGUCUGGAGUGAAACGCCGGGG